CCAGCACUUUUCCUCCUGUGUACCAAGUGCUUGCAGACACUGCCACGUUCAAACUGUAAACUCUCACAGGAGAGGCAGCUCAUCGUACUGGGGAAUAAGAAGAUUUUUGAAGAACAAACCAGCCAGCCCCCAGAUCUUUCCACAUCUUGGAGUAGGAGUGAGAAACAUGUCACUGAACUGAAACUGCAGGAAGCUUCCAGUAAGCAGCAUGCAGUCCUGGCCUGUGGCUUGGCUGGAACCUUGGCCUGAUGCCUCCAUUCCCACCACAGCUGUUGUGAUCCUGGGACACUCCUUGGCAAGCAUUUGCAGUUCUCUGGAAGUAUGUAGCAGGAUGGGAAAAAAACCCAGUGAAUCCUUUCCGUGAUGUACCUCAGCCUUGUCUUCAGCUCAGUGAAUUUUGAUCCUGCUCCUUAUGUUAUCUACAACUAGGUGAACAUCUGCAAGUGCCAAAAGGGUUCUGGAGAAGUAGAUGUACCUGAGAAGUCAGGUGAGGCUUCAAACACUGUUGUACACAUUGCAAAGGCAUGGGGUAACCCUGCCUGUGCAGAAGUUCCUUCCUUGAUUCCUGCACAGCAAACAGCACUUGCUAAGAGGGCUCCAGAACCUACAGAUCCCCACGUGUCUUCUCUAGUAUUUGCAGCAGCAUGAUGGCCUGUUGAAUGCUAUGCCAUCCAGAGAACUUGUGGUGGUUGGCAUUUCUGAAUAGUUUGCAGUUUUCUGGUGGACACCUCACUUCCUCAUCAGAGUACUCAGAGUUAUUUGGGAGUGUUCAGGAAACAGGAGUCUCCUUACAAGAGUCCAUUUGUUUUGGGUGCCCAGUUCAAAUAUAUGCUGGGCAUGGGGUUUUGAUUCUUCAGAAAUUCUCCUGAUUCUUCCUGACAUUCUCCUCUGGAAGACAGAUGUCUCAGAUGGGACGUCCAAGAUCAUUAGCUGAUUUUCUGGAAAAUAAAAUUCAAUUGGCAGUGACCCA
Molecule: long non-coding RNA, 970 nt
Filed under: Cyanistes caeruleus (blue tit)
Lineage: Eukaryota; Metazoa; Chordata; Aves; Passeriformes; Paridae
Description: lncRNA (ENSCCEG00000016733.1)
Source: RNAcentral